This 200-nucleotide long non-coding RNA is filed under the name Ananas comosus (pineapple). Its description in RNAcentral is "long non-coding RNA (ACOM_LNC002230)". The record is from RNAcentral. Lineage: Eukaryota; Viridiplantae; Streptophyta; Magnoliopsida; Poales; Bromeliaceae.
AGAUGCCUGAGCAGGCAGAGCCGACUGCAUCACUAGAGGUGCGGGCACCCCUAGUUGUUGAGCAGAGAGCCCGACCCGAGGCGAGUGCGUCCCCGGAGUUGAGUGCACAGUUAGUCGCGCUGACAGAGGUGACGAGGCGGCAGGGGGAGUUGUUGGAGAGGCUGUGCGAGAGGAUAGCUCCGUCACCGAGUACAGUACCG